AGAAAAGAUUAUAUAUUUUAAAACAUAUAGUUUUGAAGAAUACUUCAAGAAAACGACACAGUCAUGGUAUGAGUAACAUGUAUACUUGUGCCGCUGUUCAUUUGGAUUUGGCACAAGUUCUUGCAACCUUUGAUGGAACGGUGGUAUGGAAAGCCACAAGAGCAAAUUAAGAGUGGCAAAGAGACAAAAGAGGAAUCCAAAUUGGUAAAAGAAGAUGUAAAGGAGAAUGGAACAUACAUGGAAAAGUUAACCUGUUCAAUAAAAGGGAAAUGAGAUUAAAGUAUCUUCGAAUUAAUGUAGAAAACAACACACUUCAGAAUCGUUGAAUAAUUAUAUGCGUUUUUAUAGCAACUCAGAACUUUCUGAUAGCCUUUACAUCCUAAUUUUUCUAUUUUAAAACCCACAAAUGUUUCGACGUUCUUAGAUAAAUUUUUGUUGCAAACGUUUGCUCUAAAAUGCAUCUUUCCAUGAUUUUUGCUUAUCAAUUUCCAUGUAAAUAAAAAAAUUAUUCUGUUUGUUGUUCUACAUGAUUUGAAGAUACAUCUCGAUGUCAAUAUGUAAUUGCACACUGAAGUUUCAAGAUUAAUGACGUCAUAUAAAGAAACUUGCUGAUGUCAGCAGAAUUUAUAAGACCGAUGAUUUUUAAAAUACUUGUGUAAGUCUUCUAUCAAUAAUAGUUGUACAAUAUUUGAAUGUAGUAAUUUAAACAAUUUGUUUUUUUUUCGAUCUACCAAUCAAUUUAUGGAGGCAUUCAUAAAGUCCUUCAUCUUUAGGAAAGGCUCACGCAGUAACGAACGAAAUAGAAGUUCGCUUUCUGGAAAAAAUGCUUGUUUCAUGAUGGCUGGUUAAUACAACUGGUUAAUUUCGAUAAUGGUUAUUAUAAUAUUUGCUAAAUUUGCGCAAAAAGUUUGAUGCUUAUUGCGUCACUUUAUUUCAUUGCGAGAGCUGGCUUCUUUAUUGAUAGCGGCCGCUAUUACCAACCUGGAAUAAGGGUGGAGAUAUUUUUAUCGUCGGUUAGGGUGACGUCUGUGUGACGUACGGAGUGUCGUUUCUAUACGAAGUAAUACUCCGUAUAGCUGUUAUACGGAGUUUGGUUUAGCUAUACGGAGUCUGCCAACGAAUGUUCUUAAAGUCCAAUAUAUGACUGUUUCCGAAAAAAAUAAAAAAUAAUCACCAUAAAGAACAAGUUAAAAAACAUGCACAUCAUUUUCCUACUUUUUUAUCCAUCGUAAAUAUACGAAGUAUAUUGUAGCUAUACGGAGUGUGGGAACAUUAGCUUGAUUGCAGCAAACGGAUUAUGGCAUACAGAUUGUGAGAUACCGAGAGUAUGUUAUGCAGAAUUUGCUAUGUGGAGUAUGCAGGAUGUGCUAUAAGGUGUAUGCUAUACGGACAUGACAUACGGAGUAUGCUAUACGGAUUAUGCCAUACGGAGUAUGCUAUACGAAUUAUGCUAUACGGAGUAUGCCAUACGGAGUGUGACAUGUUUUGAUCUAGAUAGAAAGUUUAAGAUAAGUAAAAUAUAUAGCAGGUAGAUGUGUGUCUAAUUUUCUGUUCAGGAUAAGGUGAUGAUAACCACAGCACUUUUUACUAAUAGUGGUUACUUCGUCAAAGAAAAUCAGAAAAACGAGUGUUAGGAGACUCCAGUUAGGUGGACAACGAAGUUUUUGCAUUGCAAUUACAUUAAAAACUUCUAAGAAGCUUUUAACAUGCUUUGUAUCACAAUGCUUUUUUCAUUUCCCAAUAAAAAUAACCCUUUUUGAAAUUAAAGGGUCAAACUUUAAAAAGCCAUAACUCCCUUAAUCUCCCAACUCUAUACCCCAUGUUUUUUCUCUUUUUAAUAUCGGGGUGGCGUCCUGGUAUAAAAAGACACAAUCCCUGCUCUAAAGCAAGUCUGAUUUUGUUUACAUAGAUUUACGGAGACUUUAAAAAUACAACAGAAAGUGAAUCGUUCUGGCCAAAUAUAAAAAUUCGUAGCAAUCUCUGGGUACAAGGUUGGUGUGCAUCUAGUAGGUAGACGUGCGUUUAUUAUGAGUAACAUCCGUGUACUAUUUUUUUUAUAACAAAAUAGAAAUGCAGUGGGUUAAAAUAAAUUUAAAUUUUUCCUUUUUGUGGAAAAAAUGUAAAUUUCAGUUAUCCUUAGCGCAAGAGUUAGCAAAAAAGUUGCAUCGGCAUCUCUCACCACAACGUAAAGAAACUUCAAAUUUUGUAUUACGCUUCCCAUAAGUCUUUGAAGAAAACUGUUGAUAUUUCACGGGGACAAACUUACCAUUUUCAUGUUUCAAAUAAACGCCUCGAGAAAUCGGUGAAGAAGACGGUUUGGUCUAGAAGGGUGUUCAAUAGAAACGGACGCGUUUAUUCAAUGGGAGAGAAUAUCACAUUAAGUGGCCUGGUAACGAGGUUGUGAAACUAAAGCAUAAUGUCAUGUGAUCUUCAGUUUUUUUACGGCAGCCUUCCGGUAUUACUUUAUUACUUACCCUUCCUCAGAGAGCUCUCAUUAAUAUUUUAUUAAAAAAUGGUGGUAGAUCUUGUUUGAUAUGCAUUAAUCAUGAAAAGUAUACAAUAAUGUAAAAUAUGCCUUUACAAAGUCGUUAAUCGAUCGCUGUUAUGAUUUAAAUAAAUUCUAAAGGAACAUAGCCUCUAUGGUAAAGCGCCUUUGGGUCAAAGGGUGGUUUUAAAGUUCCCUCCGGCUACCGUAUUUCAGAUUUGCAAAACCAAAACAAAUAUGGUAGAUGUAUAACCGUAAGAUUUUUUUUUAAUUUUUUAUGAUUUUUACCAUUGAAAUUGAAAAACUUGAAGACACUUAAUCAUAAUUAAUUUAAGUUUUUAUUAGCAAUUUAUGUCAUAUAUCAUUAUUUUUUUUCACAGCUUUAGUAUUAUUCAAUGCAGCUAGCUAGCUAAUAGAUAAAUGCUAAUUUUCAAUUUUUCAGUGAUGGAUAUUACUGACACCACGACGGACGAUAUAUUCAGUUCACACCCUGGCAUGGAAUUUUCCUAAACUUUUUCAUCAGUGGUUUGUAUCUAUAUUUUGUGAGUAAAUAGGUGCUUUUUAAAGGA
Hydractinia symbiolongicarpus is the source of this 3054-nucleotide long non-coding RNA. RefSeq lists it as uncharacterized. The record is from RefSeq and is a predicted model, not a curated record. NCBI's taxonomy places the organism in Eukaryota, Metazoa, Cnidaria, Hydrozoa, Anthoathecata, Hydractiniidae. The transcript is spliced from 3 exons.